GGGGUUGUGGCUUAGUGAUAGAGCGCUCACCUAGCAUGUGUAAGGCACUGAGUUUGAUCCUCAGCACCACA
RNAcentral lists this transfer RNA (71 nucleotides) under Marmota monax (woodchuck). RNAcentral's name for it is "tRNA.Ala". It matches the Rfam family "tRNA". Rfam says of the family: Transfer RNA (tRNA) molecules are approximately 80 nucleotides in length. Their secondary structure includes four short double-helical elements and three loops (D, anti-codon, and T loops). Further hydrogen bonds mediate the characteristic L-shaped molecular structure. tRNAs have two regions of fundamental functional importance: the anti-codon, which is responsible for specific mRNA codon recognition, and the 3' end, to which the tRNAs corresponding amino acid is attached (by aminoacyl-tRNA synthetases). tRNAs cope with the degeneracy of the genetic code in two manners: having more than one tRNA (with a specific anti-codon) for a particular amino acid; and 'wobble' base-pairing, i.e. permitting non-standard base-pairing at the 3rd anti-codon position. The record is from RNAcentral. Lineage: Eukaryota; Metazoa; Chordata; Mammalia; Rodentia; Sciuridae.